RNAcentral lists this unclassified non-coding RNA (233 nucleotides) under rhizosphere metagenome. RNAcentral describes it as "partial ribosomal RNA internal transcribed spacer region". The record is from RNAcentral.
GUAGGUGAACCUGCGGAAGGAUCAUUAACGAGUUAGGGUCUUCUAGGCCCGAUCUCCAACCCUUUGUAUAAUCACCAUGUUGCUUUGGCGGGCCCGUCUUUAACCGGACCGCCGGGAGGUUUCAAACCCCUGGCCAGUGCUCGUCAAUAGCCCUUCAUAAACUCUUUUAACCAUGUUAAAUCUGAAAAUAUUUAAAUAAACUAAAACUUUCAACAACGGAUCUCUUGGUUCUG